This 272-nucleotide long non-coding RNA is filed under the name Phasianus colchicus (ring-necked pheasant). RNAcentral describes it as "lncRNA (ENSPCLG00000017499.1)". The record is from RNAcentral. Lineage: Eukaryota; Metazoa; Chordata; Aves; Galliformes; Phasianidae.
GUGGGACCCAUAAGUGUGGGCUGCCCCAUAAGCGUGGGGCAACCCUAUAAGUGUGGGGUGGGACCCAUAAGUGUGGGGUGGGACCCAUAAGUGUGGGCUGCCCCAUAAGUGAGGAGCAGCCCUAUAAGUGUGGGGUGGGACCCAUAAGUAGGUGUGGGCCCCAUAAGUGUGGGGCAGCCCCAUAAGUGUGAGGGAACACAAAAGUGGGGAGCAACCCUAUAAGUGUGGGGCAGGACCCAUAAGUGUGGGGCGGCCCCCUAAGUGUGGGGUGG